RNAcentral lists this transfer RNA (111 nucleotides) under Scleropages formosus (Asian bonytongue). It matches the Rfam family "tRNA". From Rfam's summary of the family: Transfer RNA (tRNA) molecules are approximately 80 nucleotides in length. Their secondary structure includes four short double-helical elements and three loops (D, anti-codon, and T loops). Lineage: Eukaryota; Metazoa; Chordata; Actinopteri; Osteoglossiformes; Osteoglossidae. The record is from Rfam by way of RNAcentral.
GUCAGAAUGGCCAAGGGGUCUAAGGUGCCAGGCUCAAGAUUCUCUCCUUUCCUGAAUGAUGGGUGUUCUGGUUUCCUCAUGCAGGUGUGGGUUCAAAUCCUACUUCUGACA